AUUUAACGGCCGCGGUAUACUGACCGUGCGAAGGUAGCAUAAUCACUUGUUCUUUAAAUGAGGACUAGUAUGAACGGCACCACGAGGGCUUUACUGUCUCCUCCCUCCCAUCAGUGAAACUGACCUCCCUGUGAAGAGGCAGGGAUACUACUAUAAGACGAGAAGACCCCAUGGAGCUUUAAACCCAACAACAGCCCAAACACCACCACCCCUAAAAAGUUUUAAGGGUAUUGUUAGUUGGUUUUAGGUUGGGGUGACCGCGGAGUAUAAACUAUCCUCCACGACGAACGGGCCUACCCCCUUACCCAAGAGCUACACCUCUAGGAUUAACACAUUAACGUAAAAUGACCCAAAUAUUUGAUCAACGAACCAAGUUACCCUGGGGAUAACAGCGCAAUCCAUUUUUAGAGCCCCUAUCGACAAAUGGGUUUACGACCUCGAUGUUGGAUCAGGGUAUCCAGGAGGUG
This 467-nucleotide ribosomal RNA is filed under the name Euphlyctis adolfi. Its description in RNAcentral is "partial large subunit ribosomal RNA". It matches the Rfam family "Bacterial large subunit ribosomal RNA", at positions 1922 to 2555 of the family's 2925-position model. The record is from RNAcentral. Lineage: Eukaryota; Metazoa; Chordata; Amphibia; Anura; Dicroglossidae.